This 386-nucleotide ribosomal RNA is filed under the name Proteus mirabilis. RNAcentral describes it as "bacterial SSU rRNA". It matches the Rfam family "Bacterial small subunit ribosomal RNA", at positions 1149 to 1533 of the family's 1533-position model. The record is from RNAcentral. Lineage: Bacteria; Pseudomonadati; Pseudomonadota; Gammaproteobacteria; Enterobacterales; Morganellaceae.
CUGCCGGUGAUAAACCGGAGGAAGGUGGGGAUGACGUCAAGUCAUCAUGGCCCUUACGAGUAGGGCUACACACGUGCUACAAUGGCAGAUACAAAGAGAAGCGACCUCGCGAGAGCAAGCGGAACUCAUAAAGUCUGUCGUAGUCCGGAUUGGAGUCUGCAACUCGACUCCAUGAAGUCGGAAUCGCUAGUAAUCGUAGAUCAGAAUGCUACGGUGAAUACGUUCCCGGGCCUUGUACACACCGCCCGUCACACCAUGGGAGUGGGUUGCAAAAGAAGUAGGUAGCUUAACCUUCGGGAGGGCGCUUACCACUUUGUGAUUCAUGACUGGGGUGAAGUCGUAACAAGGUAACCGUAGGGGAACCUGCGGUUGGAUCACCUCCUUAC